UACGAAGGGGGCUAGCGUUGUUCGGAAUUACUGGGCGUAAAGCGCACGUAGGCGGAUUGGUCAGUUAGGGGUGAAAUCCCAGGGCUCAACCCUGGAACUGCCUUUAAUACUGCCGGUCUUGAGUUCGAGAGAGGUGAGUGGAAUUCCGAGUGUAGAGGUGAAAUUCGUAGAUAUUCGGAGGAACACCAGUGGCGAAGGCGGCUCACUGGCUCGAUACUGACGCUGAGGUGCGAAAGCGUGGGGAGCAAACAGG
RNAcentral lists this ribosomal RNA (253 nucleotides) under uncultured Alphaproteobacteria bacterium. Its description in RNAcentral is "partial 16S ribosomal RNA". It matches the Rfam family "Bacterial small subunit ribosomal RNA", at positions 524 to 776 of the family's 1533-position model. Lineage: Bacteria; Pseudomonadati; Pseudomonadota; Alphaproteobacteria. The record is from RNAcentral.